CAGUCUCAUAAUCUGAAGGUCCUGAG
RNAcentral lists this non-coding RNA (26 nucleotides) under Callithrix jacchus (white-tufted-ear marmoset). Lineage: Eukaryota; Metazoa; Chordata; Mammalia; Primates; Cebidae. The record is from RNAcentral. RNAcentral also lists the same sequence under 5 other names.